This 301-nucleotide ribosomal RNA is filed under the name uncultured bacterium. RNAcentral's name for it is "partial 16S ribosomal RNA". It matches the Rfam family "Bacterial small subunit ribosomal RNA", at positions 509 to 807 of the family's 1533-position model. The record is from RNAcentral.
CAGUCGCCACGGUAAUACGUAGGGUGCAAGCGUUAAUCGGAAUUACUGGGCGUAAAGCGUGCGCAGGCGGUUCUAUAAGACAGAUGUGAAAUCCCCGGGCUCAACCUGGGAACUGCAUUUGUGACUGUAGAGCUGGAGUGCGGCAGAGGGGGAUGGAAUUCCGCGUGUAGCAGUGAAAUGCGUAGACAUGCGGAGGAACACCGAUGGCGAAGGCAAUCCCCUGGGCCUGCACUGACGCUCAUGCACGAAAGCGUGGGGAGCAAACAGGAUUAGAUACCCCUGUAGUCCCUGUCUCUUAUAC